This 489-nucleotide ribosomal RNA is filed under the name uncultured bacterium. Its description in RNAcentral is "partial 16S ribosomal RNA". It matches the Rfam family "Bacterial small subunit ribosomal RNA", at positions 30 to 506 of the family's 1533-position model. The record is from RNAcentral.
AUUGAACGCUGGCGGCAGGCCUAACACAUGCAAGUCGAAUGGUAACAGGAAACAGCUUGCUGUUUCGCUGACGAGUGGCGGACGGGUGAGUAAUGUCUGGGAAACUGCCUGAUGGAGGGGGAUAACUACUGGAAACGGUAGCUAAUACCGCAUAACGUCGCAAGACCAAAGAGGGGGACCUUCGGGCCUCUUGCCAUCAGAUGUGCCCAGAUGGGAUUAGCUAGUAGGUGGGGUAACGGCUCACCUAGGCGACGAUCCCUAGCUGGUCUGAGAGGAUGACCAGCCACACUGGAACUGAGACACGGUCCAGACUCCUACGGGAGGCAGCAGUGGGGAAUAUUGCACAAUGGGCGCAAGCCUGAUGCAGCCAUGCCGCGUGUAUGAAGAAGGCCUUCGGGUUGUAAAGUACUUUCAGCGGGGAGGAAGGGAGUAAAGUUAAUACCUUUGCUCAUUGACGUUACCCGCAGAAGAAGCACCGGCCAACUCCGU